GGCUGGUCCGAGCGCAGUGGUGUUUACAACCAGUUACAGAUUCCUUCGUUCCUUCUCCACUCCCACUGCUUCACUUGACUCGCCUAUA
RNAcentral lists this Y RNA (88 nucleotides) under Otolemur garnettii (small-eared galago). It matches the Rfam family "Y RNA". From Rfam's summary of the family: Y RNAs are components of the Ro ribonucleoprotein particle (Ro RNP), in association with Ro60 and La proteins. The Y RNAs and Ro60 and La proteins are well conserved, but the function of the Ro RNP is not known. Lineage: Eukaryota; Metazoa; Chordata; Mammalia; Primates; Galagidae. The record is from Rfam by way of RNAcentral.